Arabidopsis thaliana (thale cress) is the source of this 273-nucleotide long non-coding RNA. RefSeq annotates it as other RNA. Lineage: Eukaryota; Viridiplantae; Streptophyta; Magnoliopsida; Brassicales; Brassicaceae. The record is from RefSeq. The transcript has a single exon.
GCUGACCGUACACGUGGGGGCAUCUGAGUGUAUGUGAUCGUCGAAGAAGUAUAAAGAGCUUUGCUGAAUUUUUGAAGCGUUGCGUUGAAUGAUAUGUGAAUGAGCUCGUUCUCGUCGGCGGUUAAAGAUCCCGGAAAGUCAAGAAGUGUGUCGAUGCAUAGGUUCGGGUAUAAGGAUUUGCUACAGGUUCGGGAGAUUGCUUGGGUCGGUUUACGGGUUAGUUUCGGCUCGGUUUUACCCGAGUCUACGGCUCGGAUGCCGGCAAAGAUACCG